This 455-nucleotide long non-coding RNA is filed under the name Gossypium raimondii (Peruvian cotton). RNAcentral's name for it is "long non-coding RNA (GRAI_LNC006694)". The record is from RNAcentral. Lineage: Eukaryota; Viridiplantae; Streptophyta; Magnoliopsida; Malvales; Malvaceae.
GUGUAAAGUUUCUGGGGUAAAAGUGGAAUUUUAGCAAAAAUAUGGGGUUAAAAUGUAAUUUUUGAAAAAUUUAGGGGCUAAAAUGUAAUUUAGAAAAGUUUAGGGGUAGAUAUGUAAAUUUGAGAAAGUUUAGGGGUUGAAAUGUAAUUUAGAAAAGUUUAGGGGCCCAAAAAUGUAAUUUAUAUUUUUUGUAUUUUUUCAAAAUUUCAUUAUGACUAUUUUAUUAAUAUUUAAAAAAAUUUAAAAAUGGGCUAAAACAAUUCCAAAAUUAAAUCUUAAUGGGCCCGAUCAUUGGGCCCAUACGAGACCAGCCCUGCCCGAAAUCCAACCCGGGCAAAAUUCAGUGAUUACAGCUGCCCCUCUUUGCUCAUCUCUGUGAAACAGGGAUAGAGCAAAGACUUAAAAGUACUGAAUUUUGCUCGAUUGUCUAAUUUUUUAUAUUUUUUGAAAGCCUG